RNAcentral lists this ribosomal RNA (570 nucleotides) under uncultured Lentisphaerota bacterium. RNAcentral describes it as "bacterial SSU rRNA". It matches the Rfam family "Bacterial small subunit ribosomal RNA", at positions 866 to 1429 of the family's 1533-position model. Lineage: Bacteria; Pseudomonadati; Lentisphaerota. The record is from RNAcentral.
ACACCGCCUGGGGAGUACGGCCGCAAGGUUAAAACUCAAAGAAAUUGACGGGGGCCCGCACAAGCGGAGGAGCAUGUGGCUUAAUUCGAUGCAACGCGAAGAACCUUACCAGGGUUUGACAUGCAGCUGCACGCCUCCUGAAAGGGAGGAAGCUUUCGAAGGUGCUGCACAGGUGCUGCAUGGCUGUCGUCAGUUCGUGCCGUGAGGUGUUUGGUUAAGUCCAGCAACGAACGCAACCCCUAUGUUUAGUUGCCACCGGUGGUGAUGAGCCACCGAGCACUCUAGACAGACUGCCCGUACAAGCGGGAGGAAGGUGGGGACGACGUCAAGUCAGUAUGGCCCUUACACCCUGGGCUGCACACGUGCUACAAUGGUCGGUACAGUGGGAAGCAAUACCGCGAGGUGGAGCAAAUCCUCAAAACCGGCCCCAGUUCGGAUUGGAGUCUGAAAUUCGACUCCAUGAAGUUGGAUUCGCUAGUAAUGCCGUAUCAGCUACGACGGCGUGAAUACGUUCCCGGGCCUUGUACACACCGCCCGUCACAUCAUGAAAGCCGUCUGCACCCGAAGUCG